AUUGAACGCUGGCGGCAGGCCUAACACAUGCAAGUCGAGCGAGCGGCGGACGGGUGAGUAAUGUAUGGGGACUGCCCGAUAGAGGGGGAUAACUACUGGAAACGGUUGCUAAUACCGCAUACUAUCGGAUAACCCAUAUGGGAUUAGCUAGUAGGUGGGGUAACGGCUCACCUAGGCGACGAUCCCUAGCUGGUCUGAGAGGAUGAACAGCCACACUGGGACGGAGACACGGCCCAGACUCCUACGGAGGCAGCAGUGGGGAAUUUUGCACAAUGGGGGCAAGCCUGAUGCAGCCAUGCCGCGUGUAUGAAGAAGGCCUUCGGGUUGUAAAGUACUUUCAGUCGGGAGGCGUUACCGACAGAAGAAGCACCGGCUAACUCCGUGCCAGCCGCCGCGGUAAUAC
This 403-nucleotide ribosomal RNA is filed under the name uncultured bacterium. Its description in RNAcentral is "partial 16S ribosomal RNA". It matches the Rfam family "Bacterial small subunit ribosomal RNA", at positions 30 to 526 of the family's 1533-position model. The record is from RNAcentral.